GAUGAAGAACGUAGCGAAAUGCGAUAAGUAGUGUGAAUUGCAGAAUUCAGUGAAUCAUCGAAUCUUUGAACGCACAUUGCGCCCCUUGGUACUCCAUGGGGCAUGCCUGUUCGAGCGUCAUUUACACCCUCAAGCUCAGCUUGGUGUUGGGCGUCUGUCCCGCUUCGUGCGCGGACUCGCCUCAAAUGCAUUGGCAGCGGUCUUGCCAGCUUCUCGUGCAGCACAUUGCGCUUCUAGAGGCUUUGGCGGAUCGGCGUCCAUCAAGUACACCCACAGUUUGACCUCGGAUCAGGUAGGGAUACCCGCUGAACUUAAGCAUAUCAAUAAGCGGAGGA
RNAcentral lists this unclassified non-coding RNA (335 nucleotides) under soil metagenome. RNAcentral's name for it is "partial contains 5.8S ribosomal RNA, internal transcribed spacer 2, and large subunit ribosomal RNA". The stretch from base 1 to 120 matches the Rfam family "5.8S ribosomal RNA", at positions 35 to 154 of the family's 154-position model. The record is from RNAcentral.